GGCAGGGUAGCUCAGCGGUAGAGCGGGGGACUCAUAAGCCCUGGGUCGGGGGUUCGAAUCCCUCCCCUGCCACCC
Molecule: transfer RNA, 75 nt
Filed under: Chloroflexota bacterium
Lineage: Bacteria; Bacillati; Chloroflexota
Description: Chloroflexi bacterium (sediment metagenome) tRNA-Met
Rfam family: tRNA
About the family: Transfer RNA (tRNA) molecules are approximately 80 nucleotides in length. Their secondary structure includes four short double-helical elements and three loops (D, anti-codon, and T loops).
Source: RNAcentral